RNAcentral lists this ribosomal RNA (460 nucleotides) under uncultured bacterium. RNAcentral's name for it is "partial 16S ribosomal RNA". It matches the Rfam family "Bacterial small subunit ribosomal RNA", at positions 338 to 795 of the family's 1533-position model. The record is from RNAcentral.
CCUACGGGUGGCAGCAGUGAGGAAUAUUGGUCAAUGGGCGUAAGCCUGAACCAGCCAAGUCGCGUGAGGGAUGAAGGUUCUAUGGAUCGUAAACCUCUUUUAUAAGGGAAUAAAGUGUGGGACGUGUCCUAUUUUGUAUGUACCUUAUGAAUAAGGAUCGGCUAACUCCGUGCCAGCAGCCGCGGUAAUACGGAGGAUCCGAGCGUUAUCCGGAUUUAUUGGGUUUAAGGGGGUAGUAGGCGGCCUUUUAAGUUAGCGGUGAAAGUCUGUGGCUUAACCAUAGAAUUGACGUUGAAACUGGGGGGCUUGAGUAUGUGUGAGGCAUGCGGAAUGCGUGGUGUAGCGGUGAAAUGCUUAGAUAUCACGCAGAACCCCGAUUGCGAAGGCAGCCUGCCAAGCCAUGACUGACGCUGAUGCACGAAAGCGUGGGGAUCAAACAGGAUUAGAUACCCGGGUAGUC